RNAcentral lists this ribosomal RNA (164 nucleotides) under Selenicereus monacanthus. RNAcentral describes it as "Hylocereus monacanthus 5.8S ribosomal RNA". It matches the Rfam family "5.8S ribosomal RNA". Rfam says of the family: 5.8S ribosomal RNA (5.8S rRNA) is a component of the large subunit of the eukaryotic ribosome. It is transcribed by RNA polymerase I as part of the 45S precursor that also contains 18S and 28S rRNA. Functionally, it is thought that 5.8S rRNA may be involved in ribosome translocation. The record is from RNAcentral. Lineage: Eukaryota; Viridiplantae; Streptophyta; Magnoliopsida; Caryophyllales; Cactaceae.
UGUAACAACUCUCAACAACGGAUAUCUCGACUCUCACAUCGAUGAAAAACAUAGCAAAAUGCGAUACUUUGUGUGAAUUGGAGAAUCCCAUGAACCAUCAAGUCUUUGAAUGCAAGUUAAGCAUAAGGCCUUCCUGUCAAGCGCACAUCUGCUGGAUGUCACAC